AUGGCCAAAGUGGCGUUCUCCCACUUCUCGGCCACCAUUGGCUCCUCCUUCACCCGUGAGCACACCAUCAAUCUUCACGCAUUCGACAACCGCCAUUUUGACCUACUUCCUCUUGAGGAGCCAUUCACCGAGGACGAGAUAUGGCUCGCCGUCAAGAAGAUGCCUACAGGCAAGGUGCCCGGCCCCGAUGGGUUCACCGCGGAGUUCUCGCGCUCGUGCUAG
This 222-nucleotide ribosomal RNA is filed under the name Triticum aestivum (bread wheat). RNAcentral describes it as "partial small subunit ribosomal RNA". The record is from RNAcentral. Lineage: Eukaryota; Viridiplantae; Streptophyta; Magnoliopsida; Poales; Poaceae.